Molecule: long non-coding RNA, 1112 nt
Filed under: Musa acuminata (dwarf banana)
Lineage: Eukaryota; Viridiplantae; Streptophyta; Magnoliopsida; Zingiberales; Musaceae
Description: long non-coding RNA (MACU_LNC008866)
Source: RNAcentral
AAAGUAAGGGUGAAAAGUGAAGUAUGGAGCAGGUGCUAGGGCAGGUAUAGCUGGAUCAGAAUCCGGUUAAUAAGCUUGAUCAAGUCAAGGAACUGUACAGUAUAAGAAGAAGCCAUUAUGUGUUUAGGGUAUAGAUUUUGGUAAGAUUCCUUCCCCCUUUAUAGACUCGGCGCGUAGGGGAGCUCCAAGUGAAAGUCCUGUUUCUUUAGUUGGAAAGUCAGCAGCGGAAUUGCCUGUGAGAGUUUCAUCUCUAAGAUCAGAUGCCAGAGACGGAUCCGUUCGAAAGUCAUUGUAAGCGAGAGAAUCGGCUGUUAGCUUUGGAGUAAAGGAAUAAAGUACUGGCAAGGAAGCGAGGUGGCCUGAUGCAGAAGAAUUGAGCUCUGUAAGAUAGAAUCUGUAACUAACCCACCUAAGUGCUCCUUACUUAAAUUAGAUUUCAUAAGGGUGCUCUGCUCCUCCCCCGCAUCUAAGAAUGAUACUAAAAAGUCAAAAUUCUACUCCAAGGUAAAGGUCCGAAACAGAAGAAGUAGUUUCAAGAUCAGAACUGGCUUUUAGAAUGGAAUUGCAGGGAAUGAAUUUGGAAUGCUCAUCUCUCAAGCAUCGGUAGAGUAUAAAGUAAGAGUUACGCUUGUCUGCAGCAAUUCUUGUUUAAUCCCUUGUUAAAGCCUAUUAAUAAGCUCAUCUCUCUCUGAUAGAAUCAACGGCGAAAGAACAAGCUGUGUAUUGGUAUAUUUAAUAUAAAUAGUAGGGUCAUUAGAGAAUCAGAGGAUUUAGCUAUGAAGUCUGCUGAGCUAUAAAGUGAGAGAAAGUAGAAAACAGAAUACUUAUCAUAUAGCCCAAGUAUUUGUAAGUAUCAGAAUAGUAAGUAUAUGAAUAAGACAAGUCAGAAUGCAGGCGACGAACACAGUGUCAUUAAUCCUUCCUCGGGACAAGAAGUUGAAUACGCAGGAGAUGUAGCAUCAGUAGCAGCAGUACCAGUCUGUUAGGCAGUGCUAUCAGCCUUAGACUCCCUGGGUUAAGCCUUACCCCGACCAGUUCCAUUAUGGGUUGUACUCGUUUCAAUUCUUGGAUUCACUGUUUUGGUUCUUUAACUACCUCGUUUAAGCCACCAA